UCUUGUACAAAGUGUCCCGGUAAACCUAAGGUUUUCUGGACAAGGUUCGUCCUACCAGAGUCAGUCGGGAGCUAAGACGAGAUCGUAAGAUGUAGUCGAUGCACAACUGGUUAAUAUUCCAGUACUAAUUUAGCGUUGUUGUUUCAAGCAUCCUUGAAGUUUAUGUAGUCAUCGAUUGACUCAGCUUAGGGUAAAACCGAAGCAUAUACGUGGAUGGGGUGCCUAGAAAAAGGAACAAUGCAAGCUGAAUUACCCGUACCGUAAACCGACACAGGUGGGUGGGUCGAAUAGACCAAGGUGCGCGAGAGAGACCUUUCUAAGGAACUCUGCAAAUUAGCCUCGUAACUUCGGGAAAAGAGGUGCUCACGUAAGUGAGUCACAGUAAAUUGCGUUUAGCGACUGUUUAACAAAAACACAGCACUCUGCCACGUCGUAAGACUAAGUAUAGGGUGUGACAAGUGACCAAUGCGGAAAGAUCGAGGUGAGUGGUUAGCGAAAGCGAAGCUCUGAACCCAAGUCCCCGUGAAUGUCGGCCGUAACUAUAACGGUCCUAAGGUAGCGAAAUUCCUUGUCGGGUAAGUUCCGACCUGCACGAAUCUUGUAACGACUGAACGACUGUCUCGGAGAGGAUCUCGGCGAAACUGUAAUUGCGGUGAAGAUGCCGCAUACCCGCAGUAGGACGGAAAGACCCUAUGCACCUUUACUGUAAGCUCGUAUUGUCUUCUGAUCUGUAAUGCUUAGCGUAGGUGGGAGACUUUGAUGGCAUAAUUUUGGUUGUGCCGGAGUCGAAAUGUGAAACACCACUCUUUGCAGAUUAGAAGUCUAACCUUCUCCAUUAUCUGGAGACGGGACAGUGCGUGCGGGUCAGUUUGACUGGGGCGGUUUCCUCCCAAAUUGUAACGGAGGAGCGCGAAGCUUGGCUCAGCACGGUUGGUAACCGUGCGUCGAGCGUAUGGGUAUAAGCCAAGUUGACUGUAAGACUUACAAGUCAAGCAGCUGUGAAAGCAGGCCCAAAUGAUCCGAUGGUAGAAUGUGGAAUUGCCAUCGCUCAACGGACAAAAGGUACGCUAGGGAUAACAGGCUGAUCGGGACCAAGAGUUCAUAUCGACGUCCCGGUUUGGCACCUCGAUGUCGGCUCAUCGCAUCCUGGGGCUGGAGAAGGUCCCAAGGGUCCGGCUGUUCGCCGGUUAAAGCGGUACGCGAGCUGGGUUCAGAACGUCGUGAGACAGUUCGGUCCUUAUCCACUGCGGGCGAAGGAAAUUUGAGGGGUUUCAACCUCAGUACGAGAGGACCGGGUUGGACGCAUUUCUGGUGUAGCAGUUGUUCCAUCAGGGGCAUCGCUGCGUAGCCAUGUGCGGCAAGGAUAAGCGCUGAAAGCAUCUAAGUGCCAAGCCUGUCCCAAGAUAUUAUUUCCCGGAAUUUAUUCCCUAAAGAUUCCACGCAGACUACGUGGUUGAUAGGCUGGGCGUAUAAGCGCCGUGAGGCGUGAGCGGACCAGUCCUAAUAAAUCGUGCGGCUUGGUACU
RNAcentral lists this ribosomal RNA (1525 nucleotides) under metagenome. RNAcentral's name for it is "bacterial LSU rRNA". It matches the Rfam family "Bacterial large subunit ribosomal RNA", at positions 1319 to 2925 of the family's 2925-position model. The record is from RNAcentral.